This 148-nucleotide small RNA is filed under the name Pongo abelii (Sumatran orangutan). RNAcentral describes it as "Metazoan signal recognition particle RNA (ENSPPYG00000039017.1)". The record is from Rfam by way of RNAcentral. Lineage: Eukaryota; Metazoa; Chordata; Mammalia; Primates; Hominidae.
GCCAGAUGUGAUGGCAUGCAUCUGUAGUCCCAGCUACAUGGGAGGCUGAGGUGGGAGGAUCGCUUGAGCCCAGGAGGUCAAGGCUGCAGUGAGCUGUGAUUGCACCACUGCACCCCAGCCUGGGCGACAGAGCAAGACCCUGUCUCAA